CCAGACUCCUACGGGAGGCAGCAGUGGGGGAUAUUGCACAAUGGGGGGAACCCUGAUGCAGCGACGCCGCGUGGGUGAAGGAGCGUUUCGGCGCGUAAAGCCCUAUCGGCAGGGAAGAAGGAGGACGGUACCUGACUAAGAAGCCCCGGCUAACUACGUGCCAGCAGCCGCGGUAAUACGUAGGGGGCAAGCGUUAUCCGGAUUUAUUGGGUGUAAAGGGUGCGUAGACGGGAUUACAAGUUGGUUGUGAAACCCCUCAGCUCAACUGAGGAACUGCAACCAAAACUAUAAUUCUUGAGUGCAGGAGAGGAAAGUGGAAUUCCUAGUGUAGCGGUGAAAUGCGUAGAUAUUAGGAAGAACACCGGUGGCGAAGGCGACGUUCUGGACUGUAACUGACGUUGAGGCACGAAAGUGUGGGGAGCAAACAGGAUUAGAUACCCGUGUAGGG
RNAcentral lists this ribosomal RNA (448 nucleotides) under uncultured bacterium. RNAcentral's name for it is "partial 16S ribosomal RNA". It matches the Rfam family "Bacterial small subunit ribosomal RNA", at positions 331 to 795 of the family's 1533-position model. The record is from RNAcentral.